AUUUAUAUAGUUUAACUUAAAACUCUUCAUUUUCAAUGAAAAAAUAGGAAUUUUCCUUAUAAAUA
RNAcentral lists this transfer RNA (65 nucleotides) under Dicranocephalus sp. Its description in RNAcentral is "tRNA-Glu". It matches the Rfam family "tRNA". Rfam says of the family: Transfer RNA (tRNA) molecules are approximately 80 nucleotides in length. Their secondary structure includes four short double-helical elements and three loops (D, anti-codon, and T loops). Further hydrogen bonds mediate the characteristic L-shaped molecular structure. tRNAs have two regions of fundamental functional importance: the anti-codon, which is responsible for specific mRNA codon recognition, and the 3' end, to which the tRNAs corresponding amino acid is attached (by aminoacyl-tRNA synthetases). tRNAs cope with the degeneracy of the genetic code in two manners: having more than one tRNA (with a specific anti-codon) for a particular amino acid; and 'wobble' base-pairing, i.e. permitting non-standard base-pairing at the 3rd anti-codon position. The record is from RNAcentral. Lineage: Eukaryota; Metazoa; Arthropoda; Insecta; Hemiptera; Stenocephalidae.